ACGCGCACACACACACACACAUCGCAGUGACAUUCCAGCAUGCAUGCACACACACACACGCACACACAUGCACACACACACAUAUUCUAGUGACAUUCCAGCACGCGCACACACACACAUCGCAGUGACAUUCCAGCAUGCAUGCACGCACACACACACGCAUGUGCUUCCACCUCCGGCUCUGUUCCCGUGGUGACCGAAGAAAUGCAUCUCGACAGCGCAGCAAAUCUCCACAAGCAGCCCGGCAACCAUCACCAGGGAGCCUGUCGCCGCGGUAACGAGAAGAUGACAGGUGGAUAGGAGCGCAAUCUCCGAGCUUCGGCCGCAGGGAAAUGAAAGCGAAUGCAGCAGAGAUUAUUGUGACGACACUCGUUUGUGCGCCGGAGGGCGAAGACCAGCACUUACUCAACAAAUAAGAAACAACAGCACUUAGAGCUGAACCUUCAACAGCAUCAUUAAUAAGAUAAGUCAGACUCGAGACACAGGGGAGUUAGAAUCAAACAGACGGGUUUAUUGAACGGUAUGCGGGAGAUCAAGGAACUGGUCUGACGGAGACGUCGAGGAUCGUGGGUUUUCCAGGAGCUGGCGUGACGGAGCGCACACACACAGGAACACACGAGGGGAACACAGGAGAUCAAGGAGACUUUGAGCAAUAGGUAAGUAAUUCAGCAUCGGUUUGAGUCCUUUUCCACUUGGGAAACCAGACGAUGUGGCUGUGUGAACUGUGUGUUCUUAUAGUGCUGUGUGGGUGAUUGGUGAAUGACAAUCAGGUGUGCGUGAUUAGUAUUCUGGUGAUUGUGAGCGCUGAUAGGUGGAGGAGCCUGGCGUGUCUGUGACAGUUUUACGUUUUCAUUGUUAUUUUGAAUUUUUACGUUUUAAUGGGUAUUUGCAAUGUUUUACGUUUUCAUUGGUAUUGACUUGACUUGACUUGUAUUUUCCAUUUUUGUAAGUUUUAAUUAGUAUUUGCAAUUUUGUAUGUUUUCAUUGUUAUUUGCAAUUUUUGUACGUUUUAAUUGGUAUUUGCAAUUUUGUACGUUUUCAUUGUUAUUUGCAAUUUUUGUACGUUUUAAUUAGUAUUUGCAAUUUUGUAAGUUAAUU
Long non-coding RNA from Onychostoma macrolepis, 1098 nucleotides. RefSeq lists it as uncharacterized. The record is from RefSeq and is a predicted model, not a curated record. Lineage: Eukaryota; Metazoa; Chordata; Actinopteri; Cypriniformes; Cyprinidae. The transcript is spliced from 3 exons.